CCCUGUGAGUCCGCAAUUCACUCCAACUGCCGUACUGCGCAUAUUUGCUUCCUAUUACAAUAUAAAAUGUCCUGCUCCUUUUCUGGAUGUUAACAUCAUUUCCAACAAAUCGAGACUAACUAGAUUCCGCAGCAAGACCCGGUGGUGAACAAAGACUUUGACAGCUUCGUUCGUUUUGUAUUGCCAUGCUACAGUGUGGCAGAGAUCAUGUCAGAAACGAAAAUGCGUUUGGAGGACUGGUUGGAUGACUUAUGUGUCCGUUUCAUUAUAAACCUUCCACGAGAAGAGUUGGAGUCUGUUGAGCGUAUUUGUUUUCAAGUCGAGGAGGCGCAAUGGUUCUACGAAGAUUUCAUUCGUCCUCUUGACCCGAAUCUCCCGUCCCUCAGUUUGCGCGCCUUCGCCUUACGUAUCUUCCAACAUUGCCCUCUGAUGUCGCAAUGGUCUCAUUAUCAUCACUCAACUGCGUUUUCUGAAUUUUUAGCAUAUAAGACUCGUGUUCCUGUGCGCGGUGCCAUUUUGCUCAAUCAGGACAUGGACGAAGUGGUUCUGGUGAAGGGCUGGAAGAAGAAUGCGAAUUGGAGCUUUCCCCGUGGCAAGAUCAAUAAGGACGAGAAGGACUUGGAUUGUGCAAUUCGAGAAGUCUACGAAGAGACUGGUUUUGAUAUCAAAGCUGCGGGUCUUGUGAAGGAUGAAAA
This 695-nucleotide small RNA is filed under the name Histoplasma capsulatum. RNAcentral describes it as "hypothetical RNA". RNAcentral also lists the same sequence under 1 other name. The record is from RNAcentral. Lineage: Eukaryota; Fungi; Ascomycota; Eurotiomycetes; Onygenales; Ajellomycetaceae.